UACGUAGGUGGCAAGCGUUGUCCGGAUUUAUUGGGUUUAAAGGGUGCGUAGGCGGCUUUGUAAGUCAGUGGUGAAAUAUCGCAGCUUAACUGUGAGGGUGCCAUUGAUACUGCAGAGCUUGAGUACAGAUGAGGUAGGCGGAAUUGACGGUGUAGCGGUGAAAUGCCUAGAUAUCGUCAAGAACACCUAUAGCGAAGGCAGCUUACUAGGCUGUAACUGACGCUGAGGCACGAAAGCUAGGGUAGCAAACGGG
This 253-nucleotide ribosomal RNA is filed under the name uncultured bacterium. Its description in RNAcentral is "partial 16S ribosomal RNA". It matches the Rfam family "Bacterial small subunit ribosomal RNA", at positions 524 to 776 of the family's 1533-position model. The record is from RNAcentral.